ACGGGUGAGUAACACGUAGGCAACCUGCCUGUAAGACUGGGAUAACUACCGGAAACGGUAGCUAAUACCGGAUAGCUGGUUUUCUCGCAUGAGAGAAUCAUGAAAGACGGAGCAAUCUGUCACUUAUGGAUGGGCCUGCGGCGCAUUAGCUAGUUGGUGAGGUAAUGGCUCACCAAGGCGACGAUGCGUAGCCGACCUGAGAGGGUGAACGGCCACACUGGGACUGAGACACGGCCCAGACUCCUACGGGAGGCAGCAGUAGGGAAUCUUCCGCAAUGGACGAAAGUCUGACGGAGCAACGCCGCGUGAGUGAUGAAGGUUUUCGGAUCGUAAAGCUCUGUUGCCAGGGAAGAACGUCUUAGAGAGUAACUGCUCUAAGAGUGACGAUACCUGAGAAGAAAGCCCCGGCUAACUACGUGCCAGCAGCCGCGGUAAUACGUAGGGGGCAAGCGUUGUCCGGAAUUAUUGGGCGUAAAGCGCGCGCAGGCGGCUAUGUAAGUCUGGUGUAUAACCUCGGGGCUCAACCCCGGGUCGCACUGGAAACUGUGUAGCUUGAGUACAGAAGAGGAGAGUGGAAUU
RNAcentral lists this ribosomal RNA (579 nucleotides) under uncultured bacterium. RNAcentral describes it as "bacterial SSU rRNA". It matches the Rfam family "Bacterial small subunit ribosomal RNA", at positions 102 to 668 of the family's 1533-position model. The record is from RNAcentral.